Molecule: ribosomal RNA, 499 nt
Filed under: uncultured bacterium
Lineage: Bacteria
Description: partial 16S ribosomal RNA
Rfam family: Bacterial small subunit ribosomal RNA
Source: RNAcentral
AUUGAACGCUGGCGGCAUGCCUUACACAUGCAAGUCGAACGGCAGCACGGGAGCAAUCCUGGUGGCGAGUGGCGAACGGGUGAGUAAUAUAUCGGAACGUGCCCAGUCGCGGGGGAUAACGCAGCGAAAGCUGUGCUAAUACCGCAUACGAUCUAAGGAUGAAAGCGGGGGAUCGCAAGACCUCGCGCGAUUGGAGCGGCCGAUAUCAGAUUAGCUAGUUGGUGGGGUAAAGGCCCACCAAGGCGACGAUCUGUAGCUGGUCUGAGAGGACGACCAGCCACACUGGAACUGGGACACGGUCCAGACUCCUACGGGAGGCAGCAGUGGGGAAUUUUGGACAAUGGGCGCAAGCCUGAUCCAGCAAUGCCGCGUGCAGGAUGAAGGCCUUCGGGUUGUAAACUGCUUUGUACGGAACGAAACGGCCCUUUCUAAUACAGGGGGCUAAUGACGGUACCGUAAGAAUAAGCACCGGCUAACUACGUGCCAGCAGCCGCCGUAA